AAGAUUAAACUGAAGAGUUUGAUCAUGGCUCAGAUUGAACGCUGGCGGCAGGCUUAACACAUGCAAGUCGAACGAUGAGUAUCCAGCUUGCUGGAUAUGAUUAGUGGCGAACGGGUGAGUAAUGCUUAGGAAUCUGCCUAGUAGUGGGGGAUAACCAUCCGAAAGGAUGGCUAAUACCGCAUACGACCUACGGGUGAAAGGGGGCGUAAGCUCUCGCUAUUAGAUGAGCCUAAGUCGGAUUAGCUGGUUGGUGGGGUAAAGGCCUACCAAGGCGACGAUCUGUAGCUGGUCUGAGAGGAUGAUCAGCCACACUGGGACUGAGACACGGCCCAGACUCCUACGGGAGGCAGCAGUGGGGAAUAUUGGACAAUGGGCGAAAGCCUGAUCCAGCCAUGCCGCGUGUGUGAAGAAGGCCUUUUGGUUGUAAAGCACUUUAAGUGGGGAGGAAAAGCUUGUGGUUAAUACCCACAAGCCCUGACGUUACCCACAGAAUAAGCACCGGCUAACUCUGUGCCAGCAGCCGCGGUAAUACAGAGGGUGCGAGCGUUAAUCGGAAUUACUGGGCGUAAAGCGCGCGUAGGUGGUUGUUUAAGUCAGAUGUGAAAUCCCUGGGCUUAACCUAGGAACUGCAUCUGAUACUGGACAACUAGAGUAGGUGAGAGGGAAGUAGAAUUCCAGGUGUAGCGGUGAAAUGCGUAGAGAUCUGGAGGAAUACCGAUGGCGAAGGCAGCUUCCUGGCAUCAUACUGACACUGAGGUGCGAAAGCGUGGGUAGCAAACAGGAUUAGAUACCCUGGUAGUCCACGCCGUAAACGAUGUCUACCAGUCGUUGGGUCUUUUAAAGACUUAGUGACGCAGUUAACGCAAUAAGUAGACCGCCUGGGGAGUACGGCCGCAAGGUUAAAACUCAAAUGAAUUGACGGGGGCCCGCACAAGCGGUGGAGCAUGUGGUUUAAUUCGAUGCAACGCGAAGAACCUUACCUGGUCUUGACAUAUCUAGAAUCCUGCAGAGAUGCGGGAGUGCCUUCGGGAAUUAGAAUACAGGUGCUGCAUGGCUGUCGUCAGCUCGUGUCGUGAGAUGUUGGGUUAAGUCCCGCAACGAGCGCAACCCUUUUCCUUAGUUACCAGCGACUCGGUCGGGAACUCUAAGGAUACUGCCAGUGACAAACUGGAGGAAGGCGGGGACGACGUCAAGUCAUCAUGGCCCUUACGACCAGGGCUACACACGUGCUACAAUGGUUGGUACAAAGGGUUGCUACACAGCGAUGUGAUGCCAAUCUCAAAAAGCCAAUCGUAGUCCGGAUUAGAGUCUGCAACUCGACUCUAUGAAGUCGGAAUCGCUAGUAAUCGCAGAUCAGAAUGCUGCGGUGAAUACGUUCCCGGGCCUUGUACACACCGCCCGUCACACCAUGGGAGUUGAUCUCACCAGAAGUGGGUAGCCUAACGCAAGAGGGCGCUCACCACGGUGGGGUCGAUGACUGGGGUGAAGUCGUAACAAGGUAGCCGUAGGGGAACCUGCGGCUGGAUCACCUCCUUAA
This 1537-nucleotide ribosomal RNA is filed under the name Moraxella ovis. Its description in RNAcentral is "bacterial SSU rRNA". It matches the Rfam family "Bacterial small subunit ribosomal RNA". The record is from RNAcentral. Lineage: Bacteria; Pseudomonadati; Pseudomonadota; Gammaproteobacteria; Moraxellales; Moraxellaceae.